UAAACGACCGUGUUCAGGUCGCCGCGUAUUUGUCUGAAUCCCACGGCCGACAUCUCUAAUAGAAUCAACUCAAUGUUAUUGGAGCCUUCGAGGCGUCAAUACAGUUUGAUUGACAGAUCCUGCAGCGGCUCCCAUGACACUGGGAGAGUCUUGUUGCAGACUUCAGCUGUACGACUCGGCUCCCUCUGGUUUUUGUCUCGAUUUCCGGGUCUCGAAGUGACCGGCUGUGUGACAGAAGGACACAAUGGGAUCCAAAACGCACAAUGUCUAAGAUACGACAUUCAGCAGACGAAGCGUCUGCUCGUGGGCAUCGGUGAAGCAACACCGCGGCACGCAGCGUCGUCUUCUUCUUCUUCUUCUCCAGGCAGGAAAAAGGCAAAUAAACUUGUAUUAACUCCAGAAUUUAUUGUAUUAAUUGAAGGGAUUUUUCCACAUUACGGGUGCUAUUACUGAGAGCAAUACGGUUUCCUUGGAAUGGAAUAAACGAGUUGGGGAAGUCUUCCACUUUGCAGGUACACACCAUGCAUCCCAAUUAUGGCAGAAUAAAGCUAAAUGAAAUUUCCAUCUCCAUUCAGGAAUAUGAAUGUGCAAUUUUAUGAGGGUGAAAAUGUGCCAAAGAGGUAAGCACCUUGCCAGCACCGUGAAAAACGACGCCAAUUAAAGCGUAACUUGCUUGUUUUCUCAUAACAUACAUGUUUUCAUAACUCUGAAAUCAAAUAAUUGCUCCUCUUUGUAUCGCGCACAAUAAAAGUGAAAAUAUGGCGGCUGGAGGAUGCUCCUGAAUAUUUUAGUGCACACGCUUAACAACAAGAAGAAGGAAUAGCAGAAAACGUGGCAAAGUGAGACGCGGAUGCGAGGUUCCUUCAAGAAAUUAAGACUCCUCAGCUGUUUAUCCUUCAAGCCUGGAAAGUGCACAUGAUUUCAUUUUUGUGAUUAUGUGCCAAAAGCGGCACACUGGUCUCUCACAGAUUAUAUGAAAACAGUGUGUUUAUUUCUGAAAACAAGUGUUUGUUUUGCCCGAAGCGGCAACUUGGUCCAGCAGGUUUCCAGCAGCCUGCAGACUGCGACCAAUCAGCCGCCUUCUUUGACCCGCACUCAAUUCAACUCAUAGCUUAUUGUAAUUAUCGCUGCACUGAAGUACAAAUGGUGUUUUAUUACUUCAGUAGCUGUUUAUAUUACUCCACCCCGAACACACACACACACACACACACGCACACACACACACACACACGCUAGACUGAUGUUAAUCAAUUUGGAGAACUGCCCGGAUUGUUUAAACUGUCAUCACCACCCAUCAGUCUACUGCACUCUCACAGGAAUCUGAAUAUCUCUCGGGGAGGGCGUUCUUCCAAUACUCACACACACGCACGCACACACACACACACACACACACGGCCUGGGAUGAUCACUUCGCAUCCUCCACUUAAGACCGUUCCGUCAUUAUUUUUCCACAUGAGCUGAUCGAUGCAUACAUGCAGAGUGGAUUAUCACCAUUGUUUAACGUUUGCAGCCCUUUAAUGGAGGAGGUGGAACUGAGAGGCGGCGAUGUGACCUCCUCUACUGCGGGAGGACCAUGAGCUCCGCUCCACACGUUCCCAUGAGGCUACGAGGCUACGGGGCUCCGGCACCUUAGACUCACCGACAACAACCCGAGUCGCCGGAUCCACUGACUGAUGCUCCUGUCAGUUGAAGAGCGCUGCGAGGGGCCGAGGAUGCAUGCGAGGGUCUAAUGAGAAACACCGCGGAUUCUGGAGGUCCUGAAGAGAAGCCCGCGGAGGGUUGGAGGAAUGGUAAACAGGAAGUGCCUCGGCGAGGUGGACUCGGACCCUGUGACGCGCGGCGGGCUGCGUCUCAUUCCAGCCCGGGCCGCGGCUACAGCUCGCGGUUCGGUCCUCCUCGUGCAACUGGGCGUUAAUAAAAAAAAAAACGAGCACAACAAAAGCCGCCAUCCGCCAUCGGAGGCCCGGCUUAUCGCCGGAGCUCUUUGUCUGCACGCCGCUUCAGCCGCCGCCGCGGAAAAAUUGCUUUAAUGACAAGAUUUCAGCUGCCCGAAUGAGAAACAAAUAAAAGGAAAAAAAAGCAAAGCAGAGACAAGGAUCUUUUUGAAGCGCACAAUGGGAGUGGGUGUGAUUCGUGUCACUUCUAUCUGGGCUUCUGAUGAUCUCCGGCGCCGCGCUUCUCUUUUCUUCUCGCUCCUUUCAAGCUGUUUGGUCUCGCUUUUCCCCGGCGAUUCCACAGAAGUGUGCUGCAGUUAACGCAAAUCUUGCCCCGGCUGUAUAAAUUAUUCAUUUCAUCGGCGGCGGCGGCGCUCGUCGUGUGAUCGCCGACCUCGCCGGGGCGCGGGCGCGGGCCGGAGCGGGGAUCCACCCUCCCUAAUCACCAGCGUAAUUGCUCAGGCAUCUUCUUACCGCCGGAGAGGGAGGAGGCUCUCGCGCCGGAGCUCUGCAGCCAGAAAUGAGUGCCAUGUGGAGAGAGAGACUUUACCCGACCACAGCAGAGAAUUUGAGGUGGCGCCGUGACGCCUGGAGCCCGCCGCUGUGCCCCCGGGCUGCCAAAACGACCACGAUUCAAGUGUUAGAUUUUGUUAGAUUUAAGAGCGCUGUGCUCGUAAGCCUCUCCUCCUCCUCCUCCUCCUCCUCCUCCUCCUCUCCUCUGAUCCUGGCACAGAUUUAUAUCUAGGAAAUGUUGAUGACAACUUUCUGAUGUAUAACAGGGUGAAUAAAUGCUGUGGGAACUGAA
Non-coding RNA from Gasterosteus aculeatus aculeatus (three-spined stickleback), 2739 nucleotides. Lineage: Eukaryota; Metazoa; Chordata; Actinopteri; Perciformes; Gasterosteidae. The record is from RefSeq and is a predicted model, not a curated record.